This 811-nucleotide non-coding RNA is filed under the name Heterocephalus glaber (naked mole-rat). Its description in RNAcentral is "Eukaryotic small subunit ribosomal RNA". It matches the Rfam family "Eukaryotic small subunit ribosomal RNA", at positions 1 to 1116 of the family's 1831-position model. The record is from Rfam by way of RNAcentral. Lineage: Eukaryota; Metazoa; Chordata; Mammalia; Rodentia; Bathyergidae.
AUGCCUCACUUUAUUUGUAUGUCAAAUUCUUUUUCCAUGUUUGUGAAGUUUUCUGCCAUUACUUCUGGGAACAGGUUUUUUUAUGGCAUUUGUGCUGUCCCCUGCUUUCUCAUUGACUUCUAUCAAUCUUUUUUUUUUUUUAAAUUGGAAUGUGUCCACUUUAAAUCCUUUUGUGAAGAUCCAUUGGAGGGCAAGUCUGGUGCCAGCAGCCAUGGUAAUUCCAGCUCCAAUAGCAUAUAUUAAAGUUGCUGCAGUUAAAAAGCUUGUAGUUGAGUACUAGGACCCAAGUUCGAUCCCCGGCACCAAAAAAAAAAAAAAAAAGCUUGUAGUUAGAUCUUAGGAGCAGGCAGGCAGUCUGCUUCAAGGCAGGCCAUCACCCAUCCCUGCCCCUUGCCUCUCAGUACCCCCUUGAUGCUCUUAGCUGAGUGUCUCACAGGGCCUGAAGCAUUUACUUUGAAAAAAUUAGUGUUCAAAGCAGGCCUGAGCCACCUGGAUACUGCAGCUAGGAAUAAUGGAAUAGGACCGUGGUUCUAUUUUAUUGGGUUUUGGAACUGAGGCCAUGAUUAAGAGGGACAGUUGGGGGCAUUCAUAUUGUGUCACUAGGGGUGAAAUUCUUGGACCAGCACAAGAUGGACCAGAGGGAAAGCAUUUGUCAAGAAUGUUUUCAUUCAUCAAGAAUGAAAGUUGCAGGUUCAAAGAUGAUCAGAUACCAUCAUAGUUCCAAACAUAAAUGAUGCAGACUGGUGAUGUGGUGGCGUUAUUCCCAUGACCUGCUGGGCAGCUUCCGGGAAACCAAAGUCUUUGGGUUCUG